GAUAAGCUUUAUACGUGACCGUAGACAGCAGGUGCCGCAAGGCUUAAUGGUGAUUAACGCCUGCCGAGGUUAGAGAGUAUGGGUAUGGCUGUGAAAGCUGGCCCUCCGUUGUCUGCGGAGGGCUUAUUUAUUUAUAAGA
Thermacetogenium phaeum DSM 12270 is the source of this 139-nucleotide regulatory RNA element. It matches the Rfam family "Ribosomal protein L10 leader". From Rfam's summary of the family: This family is a putative r-protein leader autoregulatory structure found in B. subtilis and other low-GC Gram-positive bacteria. The record is from Rfam. Lineage: Bacteria; Bacillati; Bacillota; Clostridia; Thermoanaerobacterales; Thermoanaerobacteraceae.